This 274-nucleotide ribosomal RNA is filed under the name uncultured bacterium. RNAcentral's name for it is "partial 16S ribosomal RNA". It matches the Rfam family "Bacterial small subunit ribosomal RNA", at positions 523 to 796 of the family's 1533-position model. The record is from RNAcentral.
AUACGGGGGGAGCAAGCGUUGUCCGGAAUCACUGGGCGUAAAGGGCGUGUAGGCGGGUUGGUCAGUCAGAUUUGAAAGCCUGCGGCUUAACCGUAGAAAUGCAUUUGAAACUGCCGGCCUUGAGUGCGAGAGAGGGUAGUGGAAUUCCCAGUGUAGCGGUGAAAUGCGUAGAUAUUGGGAAGAACACCAGUAGCGAAGGCGGCUACCUGGCUCGCAGCUGACGCUAAUGCGCGAAAGCGUGGGGAGCGAACAGGAUUAGAAACCCUAGUAGUCC